This 306-nucleotide ribosomal RNA is filed under the name Triticum aestivum (bread wheat). RNAcentral describes it as "partial small subunit ribosomal RNA". The record is from RNAcentral. Lineage: Eukaryota; Viridiplantae; Streptophyta; Magnoliopsida; Poales; Poaceae.
AUGCAUGGCCCUGCCGCUGAAAUCCUAUGGCUCGCUGUCAAUUUGCCAUCCUACGUCGCCAUCGAGCCCCUUUUGUCAUUUCUGAAGGACACGUUCUGCAACGCUGGCUCGGGAUCCACAGCUUCCAAGUCAGACCUCAUCGACGGCGACCACGAGGAGGGCACCCUCUCCGGCUCUUCCAAGGGGAAAGAGCCCAUCUGCUCUUCCAUGGGGAAAGAGCCCAUCUGCGACAUCAGGGAGGGCACCCUACAGCCAUGCUCUUCCAAGGGGAAGGAGCCCAUCUGCGACAACAUGGAGUGCAUCUAG